RNAcentral lists this ribosomal RNA (653 nucleotides) under uncultured Pseudomonadota bacterium. RNAcentral describes it as "bacterial SSU rRNA". It matches the Rfam family "Bacterial small subunit ribosomal RNA", at positions 76 to 722 of the family's 1533-position model. The record is from RNAcentral. Lineage: Bacteria; Pseudomonadati; Pseudomonadota.
CAGCUUGCUGUUUCGCUGACGAGUGGCGGACGGGUGAGUAAUGUCUGGGAAACUGCCUGAUGGAGGGGGAUAACUACUGGAAACGGUAGCUAAUACCGCAUAACGUCGCAAGACCAAAGAGGGGGACCUUCGGGCCUCUUGCCAUCAGAUGUGCCCAGAUGGGAUUAGCUAGUAGGUGGGGUAACGGCUCACCUAGGCGACGAUCCCUAGCUGGUCUGAGAGGAUGACCAGCCACACUGGAACUGAGACACGGUCCAGACUCCUACGGGAGGCAGCAGUGGGGAAUAUUGCACAAUGGGCGCAAGCCUGAUGCAGCCAUGCCGCGUGUAUGAAGAAGGCCUUCGGGUUGUAAAGUACUUUCAGCGGGGAGGAAGGGAGUAAAGUUAAUACCUUUGCUCAUUGACGUUACCCGCAGAAGAAGCACCGGCUAACUCCGUGCCAGCAGCCGCGGUAAUACGGAGGGUGCAAGCGUUAAUCGGAAUUACUGGGCGUAAAGCGCACGCAGGCGGUUUGUUAAGUCAGAUGUGAAAUCCCCGGGCUCAACCUGGGAACUGCAUCUGAUACUGGCAAGCUUGAGUCUCGUAGAGGGGGGUAGAAUUCCAGGUGUAGCGGUGAAAUGCGUAGAGAUCUGGAGGAAUACCGGUGGCGAAGGC